CUAACCCCCAACUAUCUGCAAUCUCGAAAAAGGAGAAGAGCAAUCCUUGAGAAGGGCCCAGACGUAACGAUAAGUAACUGCAGUGCUUUAGAUUACAGGUACCAUUAGCCCUGAAUGACUUUUAAAAGGUUGAUAGAAAAAGACACACAGCUGUGAAACCUUGGAGAAAGAAAAGUAAACGCAGCGCUGAGAAAGGGUAUCCGGUCAACGGCGGUGCAACAACAAAAAAAGGAAAACUACGGUGAAGAUUCUCCCUCUGUGUGGCAUCGUCGUUCUUUGUGUGUCAACAGGGAUGGAAACGAUGUUGUUGCCUCUUAUCUUCAGAAGCAGGUUGGUAGAGCGAGGACAAAUGAGGGAUAGCCUCGUCUGUAUCAAAGAGCUGCAGAACCCAGGAUAUCUCGGGUCAGACUGUGUAGCAGGCACUUUGCGGUGGCGGUCGUCCAAGGUCACGCCAUGACAAGCGAAAACACCUGACACGUAUUCCAUGAUCUGUGUUCGAAACGUUUGAAGUGUCUUUAAAUCUCUCCCUUCUCGCAUCUUGAAAUGAGGACACAGCAGAGACGCAACAGACGUGCUGGCCGGUGGCCAGACGCUGGGCAUUUUUCGGAGGGGGAAGCAGCCUGAAGCGGUUUCAGACAGCCUCUCAAAUUACGGUGCCAAGUCUUAUCUUUGGAGCGUUGGAGUCCGUUCCUUUACGGCUGCAUAAGGCUCGCAUGUGUCAAACCACCUUUGAAGUGCAAUGCAGACAAUCACACAUACCUGUCCAUCUACUCCCCCCCCCUCCUCAUCUCAAGCUUGUGAUCUGUACUUCAGAGCAGCAAUAAACCUUCCAGUGAUACGAGUGUGUGGUGCUGCAGGUAUGUGAAGUGUAUAACAAAAACAACCUGUGGGCUUCAAUACUCUGCAACCUCAGUCAAGGGGGGGGGAAAAAAGAAUGACCAGUGAGGAACAGCACUGGGUUCACUGUGUGAUGGAGAGGACCGUCAUCUCUCUCUGUGUGUCGCUCUACCUUUCUGUCCUUAUAGCGGCUGUUUGAACUGUAAUCGAGCCUCCGGCCGGAUUGAAUCACUGUGUUUGAAGAACUUUUGCUCUGCUCUGUUUUCUUUUUCCGGCGACUUCCCCCCCCAUCAGGGCCGAGAGCCACUUCGGGAGAUGAAAUCAAUUAUCCGAAAUUGUGUCACUUCUCUCGAAAUGUGACAUGUGCAUGAGACAUCCAAAGCCCCGGAAAGAAAAUCCAAUUACAUGAAUCACACAAUAUGCUGCAACAAUUGCCACGUCGCAACAACAGAUGAUCCGUGCCAAGUUAAGGGUUUUACUACGAGUCCAACAUCCAGACUGUACAUGUCCCUGGGUGAGGAUCCAAA
This is a long non-coding RNA of Pseudoliparis swirei, 1364 nucleotides long. RefSeq lists it as uncharacterized. The transcript has 3 exons. NCBI's taxonomy places the organism in Eukaryota, Metazoa, Chordata, Actinopteri, Perciformes, Liparidae. The record is from RefSeq and is a predicted model, not a curated record.